CCUACGGGUGGCAGCAGUAGGGAAUAUUGCUCAAUGGGGGAAACCCUGAAGCAGCAACGCCGCGUGGAGGAUGAAGGUUUUCGGAUUGUAAACUCCUUUUGUUAGAGAAGAUAAUGACGGUAUCUAACGAAUAAGCACCGGCUAACUCCGUGCCAGCAGCCGCGGUAAUACGGAGGGUGCAAGCGUUACUCGGGAUCACUGGACGUAAAGCGCGCGUAGGCGGGAUAGCAAGUCAGAUGUGAAAUCCUUUGGCUUAACCAUAGAACUGCAUUUGAAACUGUUAGUCUAGAGUAUGGGAGAGGUAGGUGGAAUUCUUGGUGUAGGGGUAAAAUCCGUAGAGAUCAAGAGGAAUACUCAUUGCGAAGGCGACCUGCUAGAACAUAACUGACGCUGAUGCGCGAAAGCGUGGGGAGCAAACAGGAUUAGAUACCCCAGUAGUC
This 440-nucleotide ribosomal RNA is filed under the name uncultured bacterium. Its description in RNAcentral is "partial 16S ribosomal RNA". It matches the Rfam family "Bacterial small subunit ribosomal RNA", at positions 338 to 795 of the family's 1533-position model. The record is from RNAcentral.